AGGUUGGGGUUUUCAUGCUUUUGGACCUCAGAUCAGGCAAGAUCACCCGCUGAGUUUAAGCAUAUCACUAAGCGGAGGAAAAGAAACUAACAAGGAUUUCCUUAGUAACGGCGAGCGAACCGGAAGUAGCCCAGCUUGA
RNAcentral lists this ribosomal RNA (139 nucleotides) under Frullania nodulosa. RNAcentral describes it as "partial 26S ribosomal RNA". The stretch from base 23 to 139 matches the Rfam family "Eukaryotic large subunit ribosomal RNA", at positions 1 to 117 of the family's 3401-position model. Lineage: Eukaryota; Viridiplantae; Streptophyta; Jungermanniopsida; Porellales; Frullaniaceae. The record is from RNAcentral.